Molecule: ribosomal RNA, 775 nt
Filed under: uncultured Neocallimastigales
Lineage: Eukaryota; Fungi; Neocallimastigomycota; Neocallimastigomycetes; Neocallimastigales
Description: partial large subunit ribosomal RNA
Rfam family: Eukaryotic large subunit ribosomal RNA
Source: RNAcentral
GUACACGCUGUGACUAGCAUAUCAAUAAGCGGAGGAAAAGAAACUAACAAGGAUUCCCCUAGGUAACGGCGAGUGAAGCGGGAAGAGCUCAAAUUUGAAAUCUUAAAGGGUUUCCCUUUACGAAUUGUAGUUUAAAGAAGUGUUUUCUGUUGAGGUUUAGGUAAAAGUUCUUUGGAAUAGGACAUCAUAGAGGGUGAGAAUCCCGUAUUUGACCUUUACUUUCAACUUUGUGAUACACUUUCAAAGAGUCGGAUUGUUUGGGAAUGCAGUCCAAAAUGGGUGGUAAAUUUCAUCUAAAGCUAAAUAUUGGCGAGAGACCGAUAGUGAACAAGUACCGUGAGGGAAAGAUGAAAAGAACUUUGAAAAGAGAGUUAAACAGUACGUGAAAUUGUCAAAAGGGAAGCGUUUGACACCAGUGUUGUUUUUCUGAAAAUCAAUUAAAGAACUGUUUAUGCUAAGUUGUUUAGACUUUAUCAGCUAUCUGUUUAGUUUUGAGCUUUUCUUUAAUGCACUUUUCAGUUAACAAGUCAACAUCAAUUUCUUUUGCUGUAAAAAAGCUUGAGGAAGGUGGCUUGAGAUUCGUCUUAAGUGUUUAUAGCCUCUUGCCUAUGCAGUCGGAGAGAUUGAGGUCUGCAGCGUAGAUCCUUCGGGGCUAAAUGCAUUUGUGCUAAGUUAUAGCAUUUUAUAGACAACUUGUUGACUAUGAUUUGUCUUGUAGCUUACUCGCUUAUGUUAUUUUACCUACGCUUAGGAUGUUGACGCGCGUGUGUGCGUG